GACGAACGCUGGCGGCGUGCUAACACCUGCAAGUCGUACGGUAAGGCCCUUUCGGGGGUCCACGUGUGGCGAACGGGUGAGUAACACUUGAGUAACCUGCCCACAACUUUGGGGUAACGCUAGGAAACUGGUGCUCUUACUGGAUAUGUGCUCCUGGUGCGUGGGGGGGGUUGGAUAGCUCCGGCGGUUGUGGAUGGACUCGAGGCCUAUCAGCCUGUUGGGGGGGUAGUGGGCUACCAAAGCCGCGGCGGGUAGCCGGCACGGGAGGGUGGACGGGGACAAUGGGACUGCGAGACGGCCCAGACGCGUACGGGAGGCAGCAGGGGGGAAUAUUGCACAAUGGGGGCGAGUCUGAUGCAGAAGCGCCGCGUGCGGAAUGACGGCCUUCGGGUUGUAAACCGCAUUCAGCAGGGACGAAGCUUUUUGUGACGGUACCUGAAGAAGAAGCACCGGCUAACUACGUG
RNAcentral lists this ribosomal RNA (464 nucleotides) under uncultured bacterium. Its description in RNAcentral is "partial 16S ribosomal RNA". It matches the Rfam family "Bacterial small subunit ribosomal RNA", at positions 28 to 507 of the family's 1533-position model. The record is from RNAcentral.